Molecule: long non-coding RNA, 1429 nt
Filed under: Anas platyrhynchos platyrhynchos (common mallard)
Lineage: Eukaryota; Metazoa; Chordata; Aves; Anseriformes; Anatidae
Description: lncRNA (ENSAPLG00000024119.1)
Source: RNAcentral
GGAGAGAGUCCAAGGGGCCAUAAAGAUGAUGAAGGGAUGGGAGUGACUCUCCUAUAAGGAAAGGCUGAGACAGCUGGGACUGUUUAGCCUGGAGGAGAAGACUCAGGGAGAAUCUCAUCAGUAAAUAUAAUAAAUAAAUGAUAAAUACCAGUAAAAUCAGUAAAAUUUACUGAUAAAUAUCAGUAAAUCUUAUCAAUAAAUACCUGAAGGAAGAGUUCAAAGAGGAUGGAGCCAGGCUCUCUUCAGUGGUGUCCAGUGACAGGACAAGUGGUAAUGGGCACAAGAUAAAACACAAGAAAUUCUAUUUGAAUAUCAGGAAACGUUUUGUUACUGUGGGGGGUGACUGAGUGCACAAACAGGUUGCCCAGAGAGGUUAUGAGUGUUGUCCGGAGAGGCUGUGGGGUCUCCCUCCUUGGAGAUCUCCAAAUGUCACCUGAACAUGGUCCUGGGAAACCUGCUCUUGGGUGGUCCUGCUUAAGCAGGGUUUGGACCAGAUGCCCUCCAGAGGUACCUUACAGCCUCAACCAUUCUGUGGUUCUGUGAUGUAAGUCAGCCAAAGAACUCUUCCUAACUCAGCUGAUUCAGUUUUUUUCCUUUGUGACUAUGGGGAUCAUGGUCGGCAUCCCUCAUGGAACCUAGAAGUUACAAGAAUCACUAACAGAUUUACUAGGGAAAGAGGGGACAGAGGCCCGUUUUUUGCUGUUUGUCCAGAUUGUUUAUGAAGACCAGAAUUGCACUUGCUCUUUGACCAAAAGAUUCAUAUUAACAGAUUUUAAAAUCCUUAAAAGGAUGGCAACACUGAAGAGAGCAGGUGCUAUACCUUUUCCCCCAAACUUCUGUGGACACAAAGAACAGAUUCUUUCCUUCUUCACAACAUCUGCUCUGCAUAUGUGAAGUCUAGUCCCUCUCUGUAUGGGUGAGGGAUGGCUAACUCAACUGAGGAUCCAAUUGGAGGUUUUUUAUCCAUAAGAUUGCCACAACAGCCUACUGACACUUCCGCUACCAAUUCUGCAGCAGGUUGGUCUGAGACUGCUGUCCCAUGGCUGUGCAAUGAAAUCCCUUACUACUGUGGUAUCAGUCCAUCCAUUAAAAAGUGCUACAGAAUUUGCACCCCAGAUGUUUUUAGAUUCAUGCAGCACCAACCACUUGAAAAAAAUUUCCUCUGAAGACUGCUAUCAGCACAGAAACAACUGUAGCUUAAUCACGGUUUUAUUUGAAAAAGAAGAACACAUAUUUACUUUGAUAAUAUUUUUGAGUUCCUGAAGGCCAGAUCCUGUUCCCACUGGUAUCUGUGGCAAAACUCCCAUUAACUUCAAUGGCAACAAAAGCAGUCACUUAGUUUGCAUAAUCUGCAGAAAGUAAAUAUUUUAACAAUUAUUAUCUGUGUUAUUUAAGUAGCUAAUAAAAAUGUGCAUUUAAAACUGUUUCA